GCCGUGACGAUAACUCAGUGGGUAAAAGGUGAGAAGAUGGCAAAUCUGCGCGGGUUCGAAUCCCACUUGUGGCA
Non-coding RNA from Aromia moschata, 74 nucleotides. The record is from the annotation of a GenBank genome assembly. NCBI's taxonomy places the organism in Eukaryota, Metazoa, Arthropoda, Insecta, Coleoptera, Cerambycidae.